RNAcentral lists this ribosomal RNA (305 nucleotides) under uncultured bacterium. RNAcentral describes it as "bacterial SSU rRNA". It matches the Rfam family "Bacterial small subunit ribosomal RNA", at positions 333 to 630 of the family's 1533-position model. The record is from RNAcentral.
UGAAUCCUACGGGACGCAGCAGUAGGGAAUCUUCCUCAAUGGGCGAGAGCCUGAUGGAGCAACGCCGCGUGGGUGAAGAAGGUCUUCGGAUCGUAAAACCCUGUUGUUAGAGAAGAAAGUGCGUGAGAGUAACUGUUCACGUUUCGACGGUAUCUAACCAGAAAGCCACGGCUAACUACGUGCCAGCAGCCGCGGUAAUACGUAGGUGGCAAGCGUUAUCCGGAUUUAUUGGGCGUAAAGGGAACGCAGGCGGUCUUUUAAGUCUGAUGCGUAAGCCUUCGGCUUAACCGGAGUAGUGCAUUGGA